AUCUUCUGCUCACCUGAUUAGUAGUUGAAAUCUUUUUCUGUCGCAUGGUCAAGACUUGUACCCAGUUCUUGACACCAAAAUUCACACUCUAAGUUACACAAACUAGGUUGAAGAUCAUCUUACGCAACCAUGCAGAGUGGAGGAAGGUCCAUGGAGCUCCAUAGGGCUUCGUGGUCUUGGCUUGUGCACUCGCCAGCGCCAUCGCCAUCCGUUUUCAGGUCUGUAGUUGUGGUGGUUUCCGUGCUGCCGCUGGAUUGACCAUCCCAUGUGCUCGUAUCGUUCACCCUCCAAAGCGACGGCGACGAGUUAGAGAGAUGCGUGUCGGGAGGGGACAAAGGGAGACCGCGUAGACUUGACUCGUGUGGCGACAUGCAAUAGUCCGGUUGGGUUAGCAGCACGCAUUCUUGAAAACUGUCGGAUGUACAAGGCGAACUGUCGAACUGCACCCGGAGCAUGAAGUCGCUGUUGUCAGACAGAUGCUCUUCCACCACACUUGUGCAGGAAUCUCUUUCAAUGGUUUCAGUGAAAUCGAACGUGGAGUUGUACACUCCCGAGCUUUCACAGCUUAGGUCUAACCCUAGCAACCCGGACUCCAUGCCUGUCGUGUCUCCCCAGAUGUAAUCCUGCCAUGGAAUGUCAGGGCCAUGAAGGUUUGAAAAUCCUUUUUCUCUAAGAUCGCAGAUCUCGGGUGAUCUUUUCUCCGACUCCGUGCCAUACAUCUCAGUGUUUGUGUAGUCCAUCUGUCCUUUAGGGACCGACGAAGCCAGAGGUUCACAACAUUUUGGCUCCAUCAUGCAUUUGGCAGCAUCCAGAGUCAUGGCAUCGUCUGAGUUUAAGUGUUGAGCGAUGCUCCUCAAGCUCCUCUGUCUGUCCAGGAUCGCAUUGUUGUUGCUCAUCCCGGGAUCGAGGUCUCCAUACCUCUCAGAUUGAUAUAUGCUUACGUGAUCCCUGUUGGUAGAGCACGAAAGUUGUUGCUGGGAAGAAGCAUCAUGGUGGGAGCACCCCACAAGUCCAGACAUAUUAUGAUCUGUUCUAAACUGUUGUCUCGACGCUUCUAAUGGUACGAUAAGAAAGGGAUUUGGAGAUUGAGGUACGAAGUUGUCAACUGGGAGAGUGGAGAAGCUCUCAAAUGGC
This 1134-nucleotide long non-coding RNA is filed under the name Physcomitrium patens. RNAcentral's name for it is "long non-coding RNA (PPAT_LNC004195)". The record is from RNAcentral. Lineage: Eukaryota; Viridiplantae; Streptophyta; Bryopsida; Funariales; Funariaceae.